Molecule: non-coding RNA, 74 nt
Organism: Fusarium proliferatum ET1
Lineage: Eukaryota; Fungi; Ascomycota; Sordariomycetes; Hypocreales; Nectriaceae
Source: the annotation of a RefSeq genome assembly
UCCCCUGUGGCUUAGUUGGCUAAAGCGUCCGACUGUUAAUCGGGAGAUCGGAAGUUCGAGCCUUCCCGGGGGAG